UGACGUGUGUGUGUGUAUCUGAGUGGCUGUGUGAGAAAACCGUGAUCUCAGCUGGGAAAUGGCAUGUUAGUCAUAAACAAAUGCAACUAGAUUAGCCUUUGAGAUUUCAUUAGAACGAAACCUCUCAUUUUAUAGAUGGGAAAACCAAACUCUAAAAUGAUGAAGUUCCACUCCUAGAAAUAAACUCAACAGAGAUGAAAACAUCGGUCCACACCAAACCAAGAAUGUUCAUAGUAAUAUUAUUCAUAACAGCCAAAAAGUAGAAACAAUCCAAAUUUCCAACUGAUGAAUGCAUAAAUAAAUGGGGUACUACAGCCAUACAGUGGAAUAUUUGUCCUUAAAAAGAAAUGAAGUUCGGAUUCAUGUGACAAUAUGAAUGAAUAACAAAAACACGUUACGUGAAAGAAGCAAGUCACAAAAAGCUGUGCACGGUAUGAUUCUUUUUAUAGAAAAUGUCCAGAAUAAACAAAUAUAUUGAGAAAGAAAAUAGACCAGGGGUUGUUUAGGGCUGGGGGGAGGGGUAUUGGAGGAGAAGUGGGUGUGGGAGAAAAGAGGAGUGACUGACUGCUAGUGGGUAUAGGAUUUGAGGGGGAUAAUUCAAAUGUUCUAAAACAUCUUACAGGGAUAGUUGCACAACCUUGUGACUAUACUAAAAAUAGUGACUUGCACACUUUAAAUAGAUGAAUUAUAUCUUGAUAAUGCUCUUAUUUUUUCUUUUUAAAAAGAUAUUGUAUCUUGCUCAAGGUCUCCCAGCAAGUGAGUGGUGGUGCUGGUACAAGAACUUGAUCCUUUGACUCUAAGCUCAGUGCUCUUCCCACAAGCCUUCCAAAGCCUCAAAAGUCAUGGAGACCUGAAGGCCAAGUCCUACUUGCAUGGCCGAGGCACCAGCCCCAGAAGGCGCCUGCCUCCCCACCCCCGCCUCUGACAGCCGUGGAGAGAGCGUCACAAUAAAUUCAUGGCCGCCCGGCUGGGAAACAGGCGGCUGCAAUGGAAAGGAAGCGUGGAUUUGCAUAUUGAAUUAAAAUUAAGAGCUAAUUAUGCAAAUAAAUUAUGACAUUUGGCAGGAG
Molecule: long non-coding RNA, 1067 nt
Organism: Bos mutus (wild yak)
Lineage: Eukaryota; Metazoa; Chordata; Mammalia; Artiodactyla; Bovidae
Source: Ensembl